AUUGAACGCUGGCGGCAGGCCUAACACAUGCAAGUCGAGCGGUAGAGAGGUGCUUGCAUCUCUUGAGAGCGGCGGACGGGUGAGUAAUGCCUAGGAAUCUGCCUAGUGGUGGGGGAUAACGUUCGGAAACGGACGCUAAUACCGCAUACGUCCUACGGGAGAAAGCGGGGGAUCUUCGGACCUCGCGCCAUUAGAUGAGCCUAGGUCGGAUUAGCUAGUUGGUGAGGUAAUGGCUCACCAAGGCGACGAUCCGUAACUGGACUGAGAGGAUGAUCAGUCACACUGGAACUGAGACACGGUCCAGACUCCUACGGGAGGCAGCAGUGGGGAAUAUUGGACAAUGGGCGAAAGACCUCGAUCCAGCCAUGCCGCGUGUGUGAAGAAGGU
Molecule: ribosomal RNA, 387 nt
Filed under: uncultured bacterium
Lineage: Bacteria
Description: bacterial SSU rRNA
Rfam family: Bacterial small subunit ribosomal RNA
Source: RNAcentral